AUCUACAGCCAUGCUACCCUGAACAAGCCCAAUCCCGACUGAUCUUGGAAGCUAAGCAGGGUCAGGCCUGGUUAGUACUUGGAUGGGAGACCACAUAGGAAGACCAGGUACUAUAGGCG
RNAcentral lists this ribosomal RNA (119 nucleotides) under Pteropus alecto (black flying fox). Lineage: Eukaryota; Metazoa; Chordata; Mammalia; Chiroptera; Pteropodidae. The record is from RNAcentral.